RNAcentral lists this transfer RNA (66 nucleotides) under Sphaerodactylus townsendi. Its description in RNAcentral is "tRNA-Gly". The record is from RNAcentral. Lineage: Eukaryota; Metazoa; Chordata; Lepidosauria; Squamata; Sphaerodactylidae.
GCCAUGGCUCAGUAGAGCAUCCUCUUGCCAUGCAGAGGGUCCCAGGUUCGAUUCCUGGCAUCUGCA